AGUUUGAUCCUGGCUCAGGAUGAACGCUAGCGGGAGGCUUAACACAUGCAAGUCGAGGGGCAGCAUAGGGUAGCAAUACUCUGAUGGCGACCGGCAGACGGGUGAGUAACGCGUAUGUAACCUACCCUGUACAGGGGGGAUAACCCGGAGAAAUUCGGACUAAUAUCCCAUGGAAAUAUUGAGAGGCAUCUUUUGAUAUUUAAAGUUCCGGCGGUACGGGAUGGGCAUGCGUAACAUUAGCUAGUUGGUAAGGUAACGGCUUACCAAGGCUUUGAUGUUUAGGGGUCCUGAGAGGGUGAUCCCCCACACUGGUACUGAGACACGGACCAGACUCCUACGGGAGGCAGCAGUGAGGAAUAUUGGUCAAUGGGCGCAAGCCUGAACCAGCCAUCCCGCGUGCAGGAAGACGGCGCUAUGCGUUGUAAACUGCUUUUCCAGGGGGAGAAACUUGCGUACGUGAUACGCAAUUGACGGUACCCUGGGAAUAAGCAUCGGCUAACUCCGUG
Molecule: ribosomal RNA, 506 nt
Filed under: uncultured bacterium
Lineage: Bacteria
Description: bacterial SSU rRNA
Rfam family: Bacterial small subunit ribosomal RNA
Source: RNAcentral